CUACCAUCCACUUAAGAGCUAACGCGAUGAAGUACGCCGUGCUGGUGCUGCUGUCAAUGAUCAUUGUGACAGGAUCGCAGACUGUGGACAAUUGUGAAAGGACGACAUCUUCUGGUUGGAAAUGGCAUGUGCACUGAAGGACCAUUGCCCAUUUCACCGGGCCAAACCAUGCAGCUGCCGGUGCCCAUGUGCAAACGUUACAUGUCAUGACCACAUGAGGCGAGUCACAGUUACAUGGUCGGAUUGCGACACGCGGAGCUGGAGCGCACCUGUGAGCCUGCAUGCACAGGAGCUUCGAGGAAGUCACCAACACGUGUCCCCGAUGGAACAGAACGGCAAGAAAUGCUCUAAAAUUGCGGCUCGAGAAAGGAAGUGAAUCACAGGACAGCUGUGAAUGUAUUAAGCUUGAGGCUUAAGUUCGCCCCUUGCUAAGCAACCGACACCAGAAGUUCGUGUUCGUGAACAUUGCAUCAGCUCUACAUGUAAUUUUGUAUUACACUUUCUUCCAAAAUGUUAUUGCUUCUUGUGACAAUGAACGGCUCAAAAAGAGUAAUAAAU
Rhipicephalus sanguineus (brown dog tick) is the source of this 558-nucleotide long non-coding RNA. RefSeq lists it as uncharacterized. NCBI's taxonomy places the organism in Eukaryota, Metazoa, Arthropoda, Arachnida, Ixodida, Ixodidae. The record is from RefSeq and is a predicted model, not a curated record. The transcript is spliced from 3 exons.